GUCUACGCCCAGUCAGAUUCUAUUGGUUGAAAGGCCGUGGGAAGCGGCCAUAAGUAACCAAUUGAAACACUCAACCGGCUCGUGAGGGCGGGAAGAGCACCGCAAGCUUCCUAAAAAGCCAAUAGCGAAUAGGGAUGGUAAAGAGCUUCCUGAUUUCGGGUGUCGGCGGAAGAUGGAGGCCGCCAAGGGGAGUUGGUGUGUGUGUGAGCUGCUGAGGUUCUUUUACUCAUUAUUCUUCCCUGGGCUAAUUGUGUGUGGAAUUUUAUGUGUAUAUUUGGCCAUUGCCCUUUGGGGAAUCAGGCUGCUGCUACGGAAAAAGAAAAGGUCAAUGUCAGCUAGCAAAAAUGGGAAAAGUCAAACGGUGAUAGCGUUCUUUCAUCCAUACUGCAAUGCUGGUGGAGGAGGAGAAAGGGUUCUAUGGUGUGCCUUGAGGACCCUGCAGAACAAGUAUCCUGAAGCAGUUUAUGUUAUUUACACUGGUGACAUUAAUGUUAAUGGUCCACAGAUACUAGAAGGUGCUUUCAGAAGAUUUAACAUCAGAUUGAUCCACCCGGUGCAGUUCGUUUUCCUAAGGAAGCGCUACCUUGUGGAAGAUUCGUACUAUCCUCGCUUCACACUGCUGGGCCAAAGCCUAGGAUCCAUUUUCCUUGGCUGGGAAGCACUGAUGCAGUGUGUUCCUGAUGUUUACAUUGACUCGAUGGGAUAUGCUUUCACACUGCCUCUGUUUAAGUACCUAGGGGGCUGCCGAGUUGGAAGCUAUGUUCAUUAUCCCACUAUCAGCACUGACAUGCUGUCUGUAGUGAAGAAUCAAACUGCUGCUUUUAAUAACGCAAGCUUCAUUACCAGGAAUCCUUUUCUCAGCAAAGUGAAGCUCAUCUACUACUAUUUAUUUGCUUCUAUUUAUGGACUUGUUGGUUCAUGCAGUGAUGUUGUCAUGGUCAAUUCUUCUUGGACCUUAAACCAUAUUCUCUCCCUGUGGAAGGUUGGGAAUCGCACGAACAUUGUUUAUCCACCUUGUGAUGUACAGACAUUUCUGGACAUUCCUUUACAUGAGAAAAAGACGGUCCCAGGACAUUUAUUGGUUUCUGUUGGCCAGUUCAGACCUGAAAAGAAUCAUCCUUUGCAGAUCAGAGCCUUUGCUAAAUUGUUGAGCAGGAAGGUGCCUGAGUCACCUUCACUUAAACUUGUCCUCAUUGGAGGUUGUCGUAACAAAGAUGAUGACCUUAGAGUAAACCAGCUGAGAAAACUGUGUGAGGACCUAAAAGUUCAAGAUGAUGUGGAAUUUAAGAUAAACAUUCCAUUUGAUGAACUAAAGAAGUACUUGUCUGAAGCAACGAUUGGUUUGCAUACCAUGUGGAAUGAGCACUUUGGAAUUGACAAGCUUCAUUACUGAGGUUUUCCUAGAUCACCCUGCAUCCAGCUAGCAAAAAUGAAGGGGCCAGUGGCGAAGACAGGGAUCCUCCAGGUGUGUGGGAAGUGCACAGGGAAAGGGAGAGAAGGAAGGAAAGCAAGGAAACUCCAGGACAAAGCAAACUCAUGAAUAAUCCUACGGACUUCAAUCCCAGCUACCAGAGAGGCUGAGGCAGGAAAAUCACUUGAGCCCAGCAGGUCAGUUCCAGUCCAGGCAACAUAACAAGACCCUGCCUCAAGAUAAAACAAAACCUGAACAGAUGGAGAGCCGUGUUUGUGAUUCCUGACCACCAUCAGUGACUGAAUGGAUGAAGAAAACGAGGUCUGUACAUUCCAGAGAGUACUGCUGAGCCUUGAAACAUCUGUGGUGACCUGGCUGGGUCUAGAGGACACCGCAGCUCAGAGCUGGGCACUGAGAGAUGCUGCUCCUUACAUGUGGACUCUAGCGCUAUACAAACAUGGUGGCUCCCCGGGCUGAGGGCGCAAGCCCGGAACCUGGGAGACACCGCAGCCGGCCUGAGACUGCAGUUAGACAGAGGAACAGGCUCCAGGGGUGAUCAGAGAUCCCUGGGUCAGGGCAACAUGGUCGCUAUAGUUAAUGGCAAUAGAUUAUGUAGUGUACUUGAAACUUGCUAAAAGAUCAGAGUUUUCAUGUUCUCGCCAUAAAUAAAGUAUGAGGUUAUACAUAAAUUAAUCAGCUUGAUUUAGUCAUUACACAGUGGAUAUGAAUUUCUAAGCAUGUUGUACACCAUGAAUAUCCACAAAUUUUGUCAACUAAAAAUAAAUAUUUUAAAGAAUCAUCAGCACAGCAGGUGUGAGGUACACACCUGUAAGCCCAGCAUCCUGGGAGGCUGAGGCAGAAAGAUUGCAAGUUCAAGCCCAGAUCGUGCAAUGUGGCAAGAUCACGUCUCAAAAUAAAAAAUUUUUAAAAGGCUGAGGAUUUGGCUUAGCUCAGUGGGAAGGCUCUGGGUUCGAUUCCCAGCAGAAACACAAAAGGAUUCAUAAAGAUGUCAGUUUCCAUUGCUUAACAACAAGUGUAAUAUCAUUGCCAUCAAAAUCCCAACAAAGUUUCUCACACUUUGAAAGCAAGUAUGUACUAUGCUGAGUAAAACACAGUAACAGCUAAGAUCAUUUGAAAGAAAUGGUAGGAUUACUAGAAGCUGUAGGGUCCAGACAUCAAGUGACGUGAUAGUGCUGACAGGUAUUAAGGCAACAUUGGGUGGUGUUACGGUGCACACCUGCAAUCCCAGCACCCUGGGGGCUCAGGCAGAAGAAUCAUGAGCUCAAGGCACCCUGGACUACAUAGCAAGACCUUGUCCAAAAAAAGAAAAAGAACCUUCCACAGGGAGAACCAGCAGCAGCUCCUGAGAUCUGCGCCAUGCUCCUGAGAUCUGCGCCAUGUUGGAACUUAGGACGCCGUGAAACCAAACAAUCAGCCUGUCUCCCUGCUAAGCAAUAGUGAACCUACUGAUGCACAGCCUAGAGUCAAACAUCCCAUUACCCCUACCCUCCCUCUUCUGUCCCCCCAUUAGCAAAUGGGAACCAGAAAUCUGAGCGUCUCCUGGGAGGUUGACCAUAGCAAAUAAGGGGGACUUCCUUCUACCAUUUCUUUGAAGGCAAAUAUUUUUAUUACUGUUUUGCUCUUUUCCGAUUAAUGGUACUGCUCUAUUCAAUAUUCUGUUUUGAUAAAUUCUAUAGUGUUCUAUAUUUCAUCUCAUUUGGACAUAUAUGAUUGAAAGAACAACUAUUAUAAAAAUAACAAAAUAUACUGUGAUACCUAUUACUGUUAUCCCGGUAACCUGCUGUGAAGUUCUGUACCAAUUUCACUGUACGAUCAUAGUUGGCUUGAUUCUGUCUUGUUCUGUUGUAUACUUUCAAAAUAAAAUUUUAAAAAAAAGAAAAAGAUAAAGAUAAAAGGAAGGAAAAAGGGGAAAGGAAGGAAAGAAGGAUUAUCAAAGCAAAUGUAAAAAAUAAUGGCUCCAGAGAAAAUAGCCUUAAACAAACCCAUGCAUACAGUAAAACUUGACCUCCUAAGCUGGGUAUAAUGGCACACAAUUAGGGUCCCAACUACUCAGGUGGCUGAGGCAGGAGGAUCACCUGAGUCAGGAGUUCCGGGCCAGCCUGGCAACAUGGUGAGACUCUGUCCCUUAAAAAGGAGAAAAGAAACUUUGGUCUCCAAACUUUGGUGUCCUCCCUGUUGGCUAUCUUCUGUUUCAUCCAGAGCAUUUUCUCUGUUUUUACCUAUGUUGAAUGGAAGCACACGCACAUGACCUACUCACGUGUCAUCGUCAGACGCUGGCUCCAGCAGUUCCUUGAUCUUCAAUGCAAGAAGCCAUUUCCACCUUCCCCACUUCUCCCUGAAGAAGCCACUGCUUUGCUGUUCCUAGUGUUACAGAAACGACAGCGAGAGUGAAGCAGCCCCGCCUAACCCUUGAUGCCAGUAAGUACCAAGAAUCCUGUAGUCAGUGCCAACCAUGAUGGAAAAGCCUAACCAUCUGCACUGACACAGAUAAGACAGGGACAACAGGAGACCCCCAAGUAUUCAGGGCCAUGCUGAAUGCAAUAGGCUGUGCCCCCACUUGUGGGGUACAUGCUUUAAUUGGAUAGAAAAUUUAAGAAAAGUGUAUGUGUGAGAACUUAUGAACUGCCAAAGUAGACCACCCUUGUUCUCCCGAGUCUAUAAACUGAAUGUCCAGUUUAUAGUUAGGCUCAAUCAUUAAUGUCUACAGAGCAAACCCAAAGCUACUGCAUAGGCACACACACAUAUUUUUUUUUUCUUGUUCUUUAAAAUGUAUUUUUUUCUGGAGCUGAAAGGCUGAGCUCAGUGUGCAAUCCCUAGCACCACACAUACACAAGUGUAUAUUUCUCUUAGGAAAUGGAUUUGAGUAACGAUAAUAAAGAUUUCAUUUCUUUAGAGCAACGCAGCACCUCCUAAGAGGGAUUAAGGACGUGUCAUUGAUAUCUAGCAGGACUCACUGCCCCAAGCACACAGAAACCACUACUAUGGCAUCAGGUUUCUGGAAAAGGCUUUACUGGGUGCUCAGUGGGACAGGAGGCCAGGGGCUACAAGCUCAAGUCUGCCUGCUCCCACGCAGGUCACUUCUUUGGUGGGGUGGCGGGGUGGCGGGGUGGGGGUGGGGGAGGUGUUACAUUCUGCACAGGAGAUCGUGAACUUGUGAUGUCACUGAGUGGAUGACCUGGCCGCUCCUCAAGUUCUUAUUGAAAAUUUCGUCCCAAACCAUACAAAUCAUGAAUGAAGACCUGAAGGCUUUUCCUGGAUGAUAAGGGAUUUAUAUCUAGUGUGUCCAAGCCUUACCUAAUUUUACCAUGCCAAAAUAUGGUGUGUUGGUAUACUGAUUAUUUGAGACUUAUGUCACUUGAGGAACUGUAACUUCAGAAAGGGAAAUCUGGCCUGUUUUCUUAGUACAGUAAAACCAGGGAUUAAGAGUCACCUGUUUACUGAGGGUCCUACAAGACAAACGCUUCCAAUCAAUUUUAACUUGAUAAACCAGUGAUGUCAUGCAGUGUGUUUUGUGAUGCCAAAUGUCACAUGAUCACAACUGAGCCAAUGGUCCUCUCACUGCGGGAUUGAGGGCGAUCAUCUCCCAACAGCAAGAGGUAUGGAGGUGAUCUCCACUGCAGAGGAGGAGGAAAAGGCGGAGUGGGCCCUUAUUUUAAAUGAGAGAAAAUAUGGGAAUGGUGCAAGAUUUUGUAGAAAAAAAGAAAGAAAGAAAGAAAAGCACCAUCUAAAUAAGGCUGUAGCAGGGUGAGGGAUGAAUCUGCUGAGUGACAAUGCAAUGUCACGUUUCCACAAAUCCUCAAAAGGAGGCAACAGCAAAAGUGUCACUGAAUAGGUUCCUUGUUAAAGCUGCACAAAAAGAAAACGAUUUCACUGAGCCAAGAGCAGCGAUUCUGUUAGUGACAGUGAAUCCGCCUCUCUCUGGUCUUCCUCACUCCAGUAAUAAUGGUCUUCAAAGGAAGUGAAGGUUAAUUUUUUUCUUUAUAUUUUUUAUUUUGUUACUACUUUGUAUUAUAUCACAGUAUCGUAAUCGUUUUUACACAAAUAUUUUUGUUGUAGAACAAAUUGUCUGAUUUUCCAUUCUGUAUUAUGGGGAAGUUUGCUUGGAUACACAAGUAAUUUGGGUUACAAGCAUGUUUCCAGAAUAAAUUACGCUGUAAACCAAGAUUUUACUAUAUACUGUGUAUUCCACUGAGUCGUUUUCAGAAAUAAACGGACCGUCUGACUC
Cavia porcellus (domestic guinea pig) is the source of this 5657-nucleotide RNA transcript. It is a transcript of the gene named ALG11 alpha-1,2-mannosyltransferase, with no coding region annotated. Lineage: Eukaryota; Metazoa; Chordata; Mammalia; Rodentia; Caviidae. The record is from RefSeq and is a predicted model, not a curated record. The transcript is spliced from 5 exons.